This 1141-nucleotide long non-coding RNA is filed under the name Salmo salar (Atlantic salmon). Its description in RNAcentral is "lncRNA (ENSSSAG00000117378.1, ENSSSAG00075033039.1)". Lineage: Eukaryota; Metazoa; Chordata; Actinopteri; Salmoniformes; Salmonidae. The record is from RNAcentral.
CACAUUUCUGCACAAAAUUUGAGCAAAAUAAGCUUUUUGUGCGUAUGGACAAUUUCUGGGAUCUUUUAUUUCAGCUCAUGAAACAUGGGACCAACACUUUACAUCUUGCAUUUAUAUUUUUGUUCAGUGUAGUUGAUGAUCUUUGUCCUAUAAGCUAUUGCAGUGGUUAGGAUCAGUUGUGAGAGUAGCUUAAGUCUUAUCCCCCCAUGUUGUACAGUAGAGCUGUGAGGCUUCCUGAACAGGUCCUAUCAAGGAUGUGAUGACUUGGUAACUCUGACAGAGUUGAGGCAGUAUGUACCACUACAGUGAGGGGGAAAAAGUAUUUGAUCCCCUGUUGAUUUUGUACGUUUGCCCACUGACAAAGAAAUGAUCAGUCUAUAAUUUUAAUGGUAGGUUUAUUUGAACAGUGAGAGACAGAAUAACAACAAAACAAUCCAGAAAAACGCAUGUCAAAAAUGUUAUCAAUUGAUUUGCAUUUUAAUGAGGGAAAUAAGGACUGAUCAUUUCUUUGUCAGUGGGCAAACGUACAAAAUCAGCAGGGGAUCAAAUACUUUUUUCCCUCACUGUAUAUAAUUACCUAAACAACUUCCUAUCAACCACCAUCUCCCCUGCUUUUGACUGAAUCUUCAUGGUGAUCAUGCAUUCCCUAUUAUGACUGGUCAAUAUGGAAAAGGACCAUUAAUGUCACAGGCAUCUGCUAAGUAGGUUAUGACUGACUGAGUGCCGUCUGUCUGUGAGAAGGCCAUAACGUCUUGGUCACAUGGAACGUCGAAGGACCAAAUCCAGCCACCAGGUGAACCAAUGGGGACAGAGGCCAUCAUUUCACCACCCAACCACUCGUCUAUUUCUGGCCUAUUGGUCUUCUUUCAGAUGAAUAACUGUGACUUUGCAUCAUGAAUAAUAGUAUAUUAUUUUGAAUGUAAUCUAUAAGGGAUGGGAUCUUUUUUGAAUGUAAUCUCUCGGGAUGGGGGGGAUUGCCACUGGUUAUUUUGUAAAUAUGAAAAAGCAUAAUUUUUUUUAUCCCUGUGCAGACAUGUUUUACUUGCUGGCUGAAUGAUGUUGAGUGAGAGUCAGAGUGUAUACGUUCAUACGUUUGUGAGUAUGAUGCCCCUAAGCUGCGGUGUGUGUUUUUUUUCUCCCA